UUUAGGGACUAUAAACAGAUUAGACCACAUAUGGUUAAUGUAGUGUUUUUAUAUUUGUGACAGAUAUGAAUGGCAUUGGAUUAUAACAUUUCUCAGUUCAGCUGGUAAGAUUAGCAACAGGGAAGCUGAUUUCUUCUCUGGUUAUUGGAAGGUCAGGCUGCAGAAAAAGACAAGGAUGCAAACCAAACUUGUCAAACUUUAUUUUAUAACUUUUAAUAAGGAAAGUCACGGCAGCGACGGACAGCACAGCAGCUGUUAAUAAUGACUGUCAGCCCUCGGUGUAAUCACGGAUUUGCAGCAAACACUUUUUACGAGGUUUCCAUAUGAGCUCUCACAUAUGACUGCAGCGUGUUUGGACCGAUGUCUGCUCACAGUGGAUUUAUAUUCAGAGAUAUAGGAGAAAAACUGAGAAAAGGAUUGUUCCAACAACUGCAGCGAGUCGUCCAGAUCUCGAAGAAGCUCAGCGGCUCCAGACCGUAACGCGACAAAAACCACGUUUGACUUCAGGGUAAAGCCUGAUGCUGAGCGCCGUUUCCUCAGUGGAAGGGAGGCUCCCAGAUGUUCCUGAGGAGAGAUCUGCACGGCUCAGAGAAGAAUGCAGAUUCCCUGGGAAACGGAGGAAUCUUUCUGCCAAGCCUCGAGAAAAACUGGCCUCCGUACCAUCACAAUACUACAAACUACUGCUGGCCCAGUCGAGCACGAAGUUAAUUCAGGUUAGGUUAUGGUUUUGGAAGAGGGUUGAGGGGGGGCUAUGAAUUUACAGCGCAUGAUUGACAGCGCUAUGAUCCUCCUCCUGGCACUGAUUGGUUGUUCCUGACAGAGAUGUGUAUUUCUGCAGCAAGAAGGCAGGUAACUAAAAAAAUUACCUCUCAUGUACCAUAAGGAGAGAUCUGCUGUUUAACCGUUUAAAACAGUUUUAACAAAUAUAUA
Long non-coding RNA from Poecilia reticulata (guppy), 930 nucleotides. RefSeq lists it as uncharacterized. The record is from RefSeq and is a predicted model, not a curated record. Lineage: Eukaryota; Metazoa; Chordata; Actinopteri; Cyprinodontiformes; Poeciliidae.